This 435-nucleotide ribosomal RNA is filed under the name uncultured bacterium. RNAcentral's name for it is "partial 16S ribosomal RNA". It matches the Rfam family "Bacterial small subunit ribosomal RNA", at positions 28 to 507 of the family's 1533-position model. The record is from RNAcentral.
GAUGAACGCUGGCGGUAUGCUUAACACAUGCAAGUCGAACGGACUCUUCGGAGUUAGUGGCGGACGGGUGAGUAACGCGUGAGAAUCUGGCUUUGGGUUCGGGACAACCACUGGAAACGGUGGCUAAUACCGGAUGUUCCGAGAGGUAAAAGAGAAAUUGCCUGCAUAUGAGCUCGCGUGUGAUUAGCUCGUUGGUGAGGUAAAUGCUCACCAAGGCAGCGAUCAGUAGCUGCUCUGAGCGGAUGACCAGCCACACGGGGACUGAGACACGGCCCAAGCUCCUGCGGGAGACAGGAGUGGGGUAUUGUCCGCAAUGGGCGAGAGCGUGACGGAGAAAUACCGCGUGAGAGAGGAAGGCUCUUGUGUUGUAAACCUCUUUUCUUAGGGAAGAACAAAAUGACGGUACCUAAGGAAUCAGCAUCGGCUAACUCCGUG